GGGGAAUUUUGGACAAUGGGCGCAAGCCUGAUCCAGCAAUGCCGCGUGCAGGAUGAAGGCCUUCGGGUUGUAAACUGCUUUUGUACGGAGCGAAACGGCUCUCUUUAAUAUAGGGGGCUAAUGACGGUACCGUAAGAAUAAGCACCGGCUAACUACGUGCCAGCAGCCGCGGUAAUACGUAGGGUGUAAGCGUUAAUCGGAAUUACUGGGCGUAAAGCGUGCGCAGGCGGUUUUGUAAGACAGAUGUGAAAUCCCCGGGCUAAACCUGGGCCCUGCAUUUGUGACUGCAAAGCUAGAGUACGGCAGAGGGGGAUGGAAUUCCGCGUGUAGCAGUGAAAUGCGUAGAUAUGCGGAGGAACACCGAUGGUGAAGGCAAUCCCCUGGGCCUGUACUGACGCUCAUGCACGAAAGCGUGGGGAGCAAAC
RNAcentral lists this ribosomal RNA (425 nucleotides) under uncultured bacterium. Its description in RNAcentral is "bacterial SSU rRNA". It matches the Rfam family "Bacterial small subunit ribosomal RNA", at positions 356 to 773 of the family's 1533-position model. The record is from RNAcentral.